Non-coding RNA from Momordica charantia (bitter melon), 406 nucleotides. The record is from RefSeq and is a predicted model, not a curated record. Lineage: Eukaryota; Viridiplantae; Streptophyta; Magnoliopsida; Cucurbitales; Cucurbitaceae.
UUUUAUAUUUUGUCAAAUCUCGUAUUUUCUCGUUGUUCAUGACUCGUGGUGCCUCAUUUUGCUCCAUAAUCUUACAAGACGUUAUCAACACGACCCUCUGCCAUUUUUCCCUCUAAAGUGCUACCAUGACAAAUCUCAUCAAAUUAGAGUUUACUACCCUUGACAUGAAUGACAAUAAUUAUUUGUCAUGGGUACUGGAUGUUGAGAUUUAUCUUGAUGAUAUAAACCUAGGAGAAACCAUCAAAAAGAAAAUACAACGACGAGUCAAGAUAAGGCGAAAGCCAUGAUUUUCCUUCGUCACUAUCUCCACGAGGGAUUGAAGAUGCAAUAUCUAACAAUAAAAGAUCCUCGUGUAUUAUGACAAAAUUUGAAAGAGAGAUAUGAUCAUCAGAAAACAAUUAUUCUU